Molecule: ribosomal RNA, 511 nt
Filed under: Acaulospora colombiana
Lineage: Eukaryota; Fungi; Glomeromycota; Glomeromycetes; Diversisporales; Acaulosporaceae
Description: SSU rRNA
Rfam family: Eukaryotic small subunit ribosomal RNA
Source: RNAcentral
AGCAGCCGCGGUAAUUCCAGCUCCAAUAGCGUAUAUUAAAGUUGUUGCAGUUAAAAAGCUCGUAGUUGAAUUUCGGGGUCUGUCCAUCGGUCGGGCUUUUUCGGUCCGCACUGUUGCGAUGGAUUCCUACCUUCUGAAUAACCGAUUUGCCAUUAAUUUGGUGGGUCGGGGAAGCAGGACUGUUACCUUGAAAAAAUUAGAGUGCUCAAAGCAGGCUAGUGCCUGAAUACAUUAGCAUGGAAUAAUAAAAUAGGACGGCAUGGUUCUAUUUUGUUGGUUUCUAGGAUCACCGUAAUGAUUAAUAGGGAUAGUUGGGGGCAUUAGUAUUCAAUUGUCAGAGGUGAAAUUCUUGGAUUUAUUGAAGACUAACUACUGCGAAAGCAUUUGCCAAGGAUGUUUUCAUUAAUCAAGAACGAAAGUUAGGGGAUCGAAGACGAUCAGAUACCGUCGUAGUCUUAACCAUAAACUAUGCCGACUAGGGAUCGGACGAUGUUAAUUUUUUAAUGACUCG